GUGGUAAUGGAUGGGCAUGCGUUGUAUUAGUUAGUUGGUGGGGUAACGGCUCACCAAGACAACGAUACAUAGGGGGACUGAGAGGUUAACCCCCCACAUUGGUACUGAGACACGGACCAAACUCCUACGGGAGGCAGCAGUGAGGAAUAUUGGUCAAUGGACGCAAGUCUGAACCAGCCAUGCCGCGUGCAGGAAGACGGCUCUAUGAGUUGUAAACUGCUUUUGUACGAGGGUAAACGCAGAUACGUGUAUCUGUCUGAAAGUAUCGUACGAAUAAGGAUCGGCUAACUCCGUGCCAGCAGCCGCGGUAAUACGGAGGAUUCAAGCGUUAUCCGGAUUUAUUGGGUUUAAAGGGUGCGUAGGCGGUCGGAUAAGUUAGAGGUGAAAUCCCGGGGCUCAACUUCGGAAUUGCCUCUGAUACUGUUCGGCUAGAGAGUAGUUGCGGUAGGCGGAAUGUAUGGUGUAGCGGUGAAAUGCUUAGAGAUCAUACAGAACACCGAUUGCGAAGGCAGCUUACCAAGCUACUUCUGACGUUGAGGCACGAAAGCGUGGGGAGCAAACAGGAUUAGAUACCCUGGUAGUCCACGCAGUAAACGAUGAUAACUCGUUGUCGGCGAUACAGUGUCG
Molecule: ribosomal RNA, 627 nt
Filed under: uncultured bacterium
Lineage: Bacteria
Description: bacterial SSU rRNA
Rfam family: Bacterial small subunit ribosomal RNA
Source: RNAcentral